Long non-coding RNA from Rhipicephalus sanguineus (brown dog tick), 1053 nucleotides. RefSeq lists it as uncharacterized. The transcript has 5 exons. Lineage: Eukaryota; Metazoa; Arthropoda; Arachnida; Ixodida; Ixodidae. The record is from RefSeq and is a predicted model, not a curated record.
GCUUUCUUUAGCAAGUAAUCCAUGAUUUCAAAAGCACUUUUUCGCUCAGUGUUAGGGUCGGUAUUUAGAAAACUAUUUCUGAGUUAGAACUGCGCUGAACUCUGUCCGAAACAUUCUAAAUGAAAAGAAGUCAUGUGUGUGACUGAGAAUCCGUAGAGGAGCUCCUGAAGCAGGCCCUACUUCAAAGUUCCGACUGUUUAGCGCCUCCAAUAAGUGACGACUAUGUUCAUUAGAAAGAGAUUACAAGCAGAAAUCAAUUGCAAGUAUUUCAUGCAUUUUUGCAAGUCCACAUUGUCCGUUGGCCAUCUUUUCAUUGUGCUGUUGAGUGCAUCUUCGGCUUUGUUUUCAGUGGGUACGACUGGCUUUGGCGGAUGUAAGCCCUAUAUAGGGUUUCGAAAUCCCAACGCCGGCGAUGGCACUUCAAGGUAUUGUUAUAACGAGACUGCUAAAGUAUGUGUAAAGGAAGCGAAGAGAAAUGAUGGCCGCAAUUACAGGACAUGCUUUCCAUGGCCAGAAAUGUGUGUUUGGCACUGCGUAUCACCUCACGUCUGCCAUCUUAAAAAAGAAAACGGGGGUCAAGGUUGCCAAGGCGAAAAGCAGCUAAUGUAUUAUUUUGACGGAGGCAAGCAAAGCUGUGAGCUGUUUCUUUACGAAGGAUGUGGCGGAAAUGAAAACAGAUUUCAAACUAUGCAUGAAUGCGAAGUUACGUGUAGAGGCUCACCAUGCAUCACUACUCUCACUUUUGAUCCGGAGUAUUGCGCCGAGUCCUUGACCAUGGAUUUCUUUUAUUAUAGUACGGUCAAAGGUACUUGCAUAAAGCACGGAAAAUGCAACCGAGAUGGCAGUAACUAUAAAACAAUGAAAGACUGCAAACGGAGAUGCAUACUUAGAAGAAAUGCAACUUCCAAUUAAGGUUUCAUUGAUGGAGGAGCGUAAAUAAAAUGCUUAACUUCAAAAGGAACGCCUUACCGUCGACGCAUUUUCACAACUACCGAAAGCGCUGCAGACUUCUCUCUCAUACGUGAACAAAUCGGACAAUAAAUAAGUUCGCUU